RNAcentral lists this ribosomal RNA (301 nucleotides) under uncultured bacterium. RNAcentral's name for it is "partial 16S ribosomal RNA". It matches the Rfam family "Bacterial small subunit ribosomal RNA", at positions 509 to 807 of the family's 1533-position model. The record is from RNAcentral.
CAGCAGCCGCGGUAAUACGUAGGUGGCAAGCGUUGUCCGGAAUUAUUGGGCGUAAAGGGCUCGCAGGCGGUUUCUUAAGUCUGGUGUGAAAGCCCCCGGCUCAACCGGGGAGUGUCAUUGGAAACUGGGAAACUUGAGUGCAGAAGAGGAGAGUGGAAUUCCACGUGUAGCGGUGAAAUGCGUAGAGAUGUGGAGGAACACCAGUGGCGAAGGCGACUCUCUGGUCUGUAACUGACGCUGAGGAGCGAAAGCGUGGGGAGCGAACAGGAUUAGAUACCCCAGUAGUCCCUGUCUCUUAUAC